UAGGGAAUCUUCCACAAUGGACGAAAGUACUGAUGGAGCAACGCCGCGUGAGUGAAGAAGGGUUUCGGCUCGUAAACUCUGUAGUUAAAGAAGAACAUAUCUGAGAGUAACUGUUCAGGUAUUGACGGUAUUUAACCAGAAAGCCACGGCUAACUACGUGCCAC
RNAcentral lists this ribosomal RNA (164 nucleotides) under uncultured bacterium. RNAcentral's name for it is "partial 16S rRNA". It matches the Rfam family "Bacterial small subunit ribosomal RNA", at positions 355 to 511 of the family's 1533-position model. The record is from RNAcentral.